GCUCCAAUUAAUGUGUUCUCCUCAAAACAGGCCUUGCAGGGAAGCUGGGACCAGUCCUUGAGAAUAUUCUCCCAGAGAAGAUAAAUCUUACCAAAGAGAACCCUAUUCCAGAAUAAACAAGAAGUUUGUUUCUCGAGCUUUGCUUACUACAAAAGCCAUCACUGUUACCUCACAAACACACACACAGACACACAACACAAAUGCGUCAUGAAUACAUCUAACAAUAAACACAGAUGGCUAGACAUUCAAACUGUUUCUCUAAAGUAAACUAAAAUAAAAAGAACUUUCACUUUGUUGAGUUUUUCUCAACAUAUGAAAAAAAUGUGACUAAGUUCAAAUAAGCUCCAAAGAAGAAAAUAAAUUAUGAGCACUGCUGAAAGGUCAUACAAAAGUGGGACUGCAACAAACACCAAGUUACUGCAUUGAAACCAUCAAAGCUGGAAUUUAACAGAACAAGCUGCAGACUAACUCAGCAUACUUCUGGAGCUGAGUUUUACACUUUAUCUUUCUCCUAAAAUACUUUUUGGAACAACAAAAUUAUUUACACAAUAAGGACUGUGGCUUUGCUGUUGCUGGGCUCAUUGCUGUGGCAUCUGGUCACUCAGCCUGGCUCCCCCGAGCUGAACUGGAAGCCUCUCACAUACAUUGUAUUUCUCAAGCAAAGGAAAGCUGGAAAUGCUCAGAGGCCAGAAAAAGUGGAGCAAAAUUUUUUCAUUUGUAUGGCUGGAUUGUCUUCUCUUCAGCCGGAGAAUUCAGAAGAUAAGUGAAAGAACAUUUAUACUUUCCCUCCUUUUCUGAGUAUCAUCAUAUUACUAGUUAUAUUAAUUUAACUGUACUGGUAAUUAAUUUUACUCUAUUGCCUAAUUAAAUCAAUUUCAAUCUGCAGCUUACAUGACGUGAAAACAAUAUUAAAUAAUUACUUAUUGACCAAAGGCAGAUUAAUUUUCAUCUAUUUCACCUAAUUUUUACCCUACAAGGAUAACGCCUAGAGAUAAUCAAAGCAGGAUGCUUCACAUGCAUUUUUACAAAUCUGUCUGCAACACUAUUCUCUCUUCUUCUCCUGACACAGAAGGGGAUUUAGUUCCCUUCUCUCAGUAAUGCUGAAAAGUAUUUUCAUUAGGCACCUCCUUGUAUCUUUCAUGAAGAUUAUUCCUUUGUGUAAGUAUGUUUAGAGGGGGAGAGAGAAAAAACUAUAUUGGUAGUAUCUAUAUUCUGUUGAGAAGAUGCUUUAAAUCAGCUUCUGUCAUUUUAUCAGCUGUUCUAAAAUAAAGAUCAAUUCGAUUUAAAUAUAAACAUUAUAAUUCAUCCAAAGUGUCAAAUACGAACUUGUAGGUUAAUUCUGACAGCAUUUCAGAGUUCUGAGGUGAUUUAGUUAAUUCACUGCAAUAAAUGCUUUUUGAUAUAUGGGAUUCCUAAUUCCUAAGAGGAUAAUUUAUUUUACACUUGAAAACACCAAAACUUUCCACUUCAUCUAAAGACCAAAUUCCACUGUACGACUGCAUCACGCUUUUGUAUUUCCCAAGUGACCCCCACGUCACAAAGAGUACUGGUGCUUCCAGAGACUCUGAUAAUGCAUUUGAAAAGGUGCUGGAAGCAAAUGGAUGUCAAAUGAAUUUUUCACAGCAAUAAAGAGGGCUCCUUUAAUUGAUACCAUGGGCUUGCUAACAGCAGCUCGUCUGAACACAUUCUGAUCACGGCGUGCUCAGCUCUGCCACGGCCCCACGGCCUGACUGGAAUCCAGCACCACGAGUGUCACACAGAAGUGUCCCCAGGUGGUUGGCAGUGUUAAAUGGCAGAUUAGAGACAGCACAACUAAUUUCUUUACUUUAAUCUUAUUAAGAGAACAACAGCUGUCAACUGUCACCAUUUCUGCACAAGGCCAGCGAGACAAGCGAGGGGCUGCGAACGGCAGAGCCACAACUUUAUUCCACCACACCUUCAACUCGCUGGGAUGGAAAACCCAAUGCACCUCCCACCCUCUUCUUCCCUUUUGGAGGAAAAUAACUGCUCUCAACUGCAAAGGUGUCAUCUCCAGACAUGCCAGGGGCAGCUGAAGGGCUGGAGCAGGAGGCCCUACAAAGCAGCAGUCUGAUGGGGAAGGUGAUCAGUACUGGUAAUUACCUGCUCAGCCGCAAAGAAGUGGGAGGUGAAAUGUUACUGAAAAAUGGUGCACAGAAUGGCUGUAGAGUGGAAUGGCUGAGGUGCAGACUCUGCACAGAACAUCCUUCCCACCAAAAAGGCCACAGAAAUACCAAGAGAGGAGCCUCUGCAUCCCAUGCAGCAAGACCAAGUUCCUUGGGCCACUUCCAGCUGACUCCAGACUCCCUGAGUCAGACUCUCACGGACCAACCCUGCAGGAGCAGUUUGCUUUAGAGAGCAGGAUCCUGUGUCAAAUUACGUGCAAGCUGAUGGAUAACUUCCCAACUUCCAUACUUUCAGGUGCCUACAAACUGGAGACUGCAAUUUGCUGUGAAGUUGAAUGAAAUGCUGUAUUUCAGGAGUGGAGCAAAGUUCUUCAGAAGAUGUUUUUAACAAACAAUGCUGUCAGAACAGUUUCUAUUAAUCUCUUGUCUGCCCCUGUACUUCCUUUGGAAAUACAGCUAGUGGAAAAUCCGUGUUAAUAAA
This is a long non-coding RNA of Passer domesticus (house sparrow), 2625 nucleotides long. RefSeq lists it as uncharacterized. The record is from RefSeq and is a predicted model, not a curated record. Lineage: Eukaryota; Metazoa; Chordata; Aves; Passeriformes; Passeridae. The transcript is spliced from 3 exons.